Onychostoma macrolepis is the source of this 963-nucleotide long non-coding RNA. RefSeq lists it as uncharacterized. NCBI's taxonomy places the organism in Eukaryota, Metazoa, Chordata, Actinopteri, Cypriniformes, Cyprinidae. The transcript is spliced from 5 exons. The record is from RefSeq and is a predicted model, not a curated record.
GAAUAGUCCAAUUAUUUUCUGAAACUCUAAAGAAAAGGUCUGGAAUUCCUCUCAGCCGCUCUGUUGGUGUAUGUGUUUGGAGACAGGCGGUAGAUGUUAAAUGUUGGUAAGGAAAUCAGCGUGACCUGCUAGCCAGUCAUCGGGUUAAUGAGGCUUGCGCGAGCUGAAUAAAUGGGCACGCUCUCAGUCCAGGGGUUCUCCAUUCAUUUUUUACAUGAAUAUUUAAUUCUCGCUACCCUACUGCCAGCGCAACAGCCUGCAGCCCUGAGCAGACAGGGACACACUCCCCAUCUGCUGUAGGCCCUGAGACGGGGGUGGCGGUGGAGGACCGCGGAAGGUGUUGGGAGCAUAUCAAAGAUGCUCCUGGCUGGGAGAGGGCUUCUGAAGGGCAAAUGUAAAGCCCAGUGAGCUGCUGUCAGCCUUGCUGCAGGGGGAGAUGUUGAAGAACGCCAGAGCAGAGACGUCCCACUCCUCGUCCCAUUGUUCCUGUCACUCCGCUCCCGGUCCCUGCACCCCCUUUUCCCUAAGCAGCCCACCGUCCCAUUAAAGUAGACAACCUUGUCUCACAUGGCAGGUGUUUUCUGGAGGGUCGGGCAAAGGAAUGGCAGCAGAAGGAGUUCUUGUCAUGCAGUGCACUCGGCUUUGUCCUCACCAUGAACAUCAGACGUUAUAAUCACCUGCCUUCAGUGAACUGCCAUUGAAAGAUGCCACCCCCGAACUGGAACGCUCCUGUGCUGCCGAGAUUGUUCCUGAGUGGAGACAAGAUGUGGUUUCCAGUGAUUGUGGAUCUUCAGUCACGGACGGUAAACAAAUGAGUCACAGAAAGAGAUUCAAUUCAGCUGUUUGGAAAAUGAAUCAAAUUAGCUUUUUAGGUUAGUAGCUGGUUAUUGCUCAGCUGUUGGUGCACUGUAAUUUCCCUUAUGUUCUAUGUUGAAAACCUAAUAAAUUAGUUUCUUUAUAACC